CGCUGGCGGCGUGCUUAACACAUGCAAGUCAGGGGGAAAGGGGUAGCAAUAUCCCGAGUAUACCGGCGCACGGGUGAGUAACGCGUAGGCAAUCUGCCUUUAGGACGGGGAUAACUCCGAGAAAUCGGGGCUAAUACCCGAUAAUGCAGCGGCACCGCAUGGUGAUGUUGUUAAAGGCCCGCAAGGGCGCCUAUAGAUGAGCCUGCGUCCCAUUAGGUAGUUGGUGGGGUCAUAGCCCACCAAGCCUGCGAUGGGUAGCUGGUCUGAGAGGAUGAUCAGCCACACUGGAACUGAGACACGGUCCAGACUCCUACGGGAGGCAGCAGUGAGGAAUAUUGCGCAAUGGCCGAAAGGCUGACGCAGCGACGCCGCGUGGAGGAUGAAGUCCGUUAGGAUGUAAACUCCUUUUGUGGGGGAUGAAUACUCCGUCUAGAACGGAGUUGACCGUACCCCGCGAAUAAGGGUCGGCUAACUACGUGCCAGCAGCCGCGGUAAUACGUAGGACCCGAGCGUUGUCCGGAUUUACUGGGUGUAAAGGGCGUGUAGGUGGAUCUCUAAGUCGGUGGUGAAACCCUGCAGCUCAACUGCAGAAUUGCCCGUCGAAACUGGGGAUCUUGAGUACGGCAGAGGGAGAUGGAAUUCAUGGUGUAGCCGGUGAAAUGUGUAGAUAUCAUGAAAGAACACCGUAGCGAAGGCGGUCUCCUGGUCCGUUACUGACACUGAGGCGCGAAAGCCUGGGGAGCAAACAGGAUUUAGAUACCCUGGUAGUCCCCGCCUUAAACAUGGGUUCCUAGGUGCUGGGCCGCAAGGUUCAGUG
This 817-nucleotide ribosomal RNA is filed under the name uncultured bacterium. RNAcentral describes it as "bacterial SSU rRNA". It matches the Rfam family "Bacterial small subunit ribosomal RNA", at positions 34 to 845 of the family's 1533-position model. The record is from RNAcentral.